AAACAAAAAAAAAAACAAAAAAACGAGGACACGGAUAAAACACGGCACGCCCACCAGGCUACGAGGAUCGUGUCAACCAAGCACUCACCACACUGACGAAAAACACCAUGCAGAUCACUUUGAGCUACAUCUGGAUGCUAAGCAGUGCCUGUACUGACGCUCAGAACAGCCACGGUGCCAUCGCCCGGCCUGGGGAGUUAAGGGAGAAACACAUUCAGGUCUCCUUAUUUCUCCUUCCAUCCCAUGUUGCAAGCUAGAGCGAGCAUGAAGUCUUAUGAAAUGCUUGAUAAUUUAAAUCCCCGUAAGGCUUAAGGCUGAAGAUUUCAACCAAAUGGGCUUACAUGCGAAUGGCUCCAAUCCAGUAAAAAGAGGGGAAAAAAAGCCAAAAGUAAACAACAACAACA
This 404-nucleotide long non-coding RNA is filed under the name Rattus norvegicus (Norway rat). Its description in RNAcentral is "long non-coding RNA NONRATT026267". The record is from RNAcentral. Lineage: Eukaryota; Metazoa; Chordata; Mammalia; Rodentia; Muridae.